CUAGUAUACUGCGAUGUGUGAUUUGAUCGAAAUUCUGAUUUUACAGACUCGGAAGGAGAAACUGUCAUCCCAGUCAAUCCAAUUGGGAUGCCCUGGACCUGACAUGUGCACUUGGAAAGAGUAACAUGAAGCUCAGAAUUGGGGUGUAGUCAAUACUCCCAAAUAAAAAGGGAAUUGAUCUAUGGUCGAUUUCGUAACAAAUCAAAUAAAGAGGAAUUUCUAUUUGUACCUCGUAAAAAAAGCUUUUUAUUUUGUAGAAUGAAACAUUUCCUUUCUUUUCGUGGAAAGAAAUUAUGUUCAAGUAAGCAAAUAUGUCAUGGUUCUAGGAGUCUAUCUAUCGCGUAUAGACUUUAAGGGCGUGGUGGCCUAACCAUCGAGGUGAAGUCGGGACCUAAAAGAUCGAAUGGAACAAUAUAUAGACAAGUAAAUCCCUUAUGGGUUCCAAGGUAUUCCUUUAAUUAUUAAGAGUUAAGGGAUUUAUCAUUCAAAGGGAAGUAGACUACUCAAGAAUUUUCUAUUUUAUUUGUUGGAAUUGAAUUUGAAUAAAGAAUUAAUAGAAGACGGAAUCACUGAAAUCUUGUUUCGUCUUCACUGGGAACUUGAGUAAGGAGUAGACCUUUUUAUUUUGGGAUUUUCUAGAGUUUGAAAACGAGAACUCCUUUCCUUAUUUGGUGUACCUACUUGAGCCGGAUGAAAGGAAACUUUCACGUCCGAUUUUGAAGGGGGGGAGAUCCUAUAGAAUCCUAUCCCAAUUU
This 755-nucleotide non-coding RNA is filed under the name Nicotiana tabacum (common tobacco). Lineage: Eukaryota; Viridiplantae; Streptophyta; Magnoliopsida; Solanales; Solanaceae. The record is from RNAcentral.